RNAcentral lists this unclassified non-coding RNA (304 nucleotides) under uncultured fungus. RNAcentral describes it as "sequence contains ITS1". The stretch from base 1 to 100 matches the Rfam family "5.8S ribosomal RNA", at positions 50 to 154 of the family's 154-position model. The record is from RNAcentral. Lineage: Eukaryota; Fungi.
GAAGUGCGACAAGUGUCAUGACUUGCAGAUUCCCGAGAGCUGACAAAUUUCUGAAUGCAAAUGGCGGCCGCUAGCAACGGCCAUGUAUCGCAGAGUGUAGUUGUUCCUACUCAUCAUCCCUCAACAAUCACUUGAUUGUUGCCUCGGGGACCUGCGCUUGCGACGAUCGCGCGAGCGUGAAAACGAGGAGCGUCGAGGCGAGUUCGCUCGACUCGACGACUUCGGAAGAACCCUUCCAGGAGUUUUGCUCCCUCACCACUUUUGACAGCCACCUCUGCGAUGCAGGAGAACCCGCUGAACUUAA